UUGACGGUGGCCGGCCAAAUGGCAUCCGGAUCGGUGAGCGUUUGUUCGCCGAAGAAAUCACCGCCCGCCAACAUGCCGAGUUUGGUCUGCUCGCCGUAUUCGCCGGAGCCCAGUUUGCUCAGUUUUCCGUGCACGAUGAGGACGACCUGAUGCAUCGGAUUUCCGAAUUCGGCGACCACGGUGCCCGGUUCCAGAUCUCGCUGCUCGAAACGGUCGGACAGCGCGCGCAACACUUCUUCGUCGUCGAAACCGCGCAGUGGCGGAAGUUCCUGGAGUUCCAAGGGAAUGACGCGCGCCUGUGACCCGUCGACGAUGAAUUCCACCUCGCCGUUGCCGACGGUGUGCGUGAGGCGGCGGUUCACCCGGUACACACCGCCGUUGACCUGGGUCCAUGGCAGCAUACGGGUGAGCCAGCGCGAGCUGAUGCCCUGCAUCUGCGGUUCGGAUUUGGUGGUGUGCGCCAGUUUGGCGGCCGCGGAGGUACUGAGGCUCUUGCGGACAUUGUUU
RNAcentral lists this antisense RNA (507 nucleotides) under Nocardia brasiliensis ATCC 700358. RNAcentral's name for it is "Saccharopolyspora sRNA 350". It matches the Rfam family "Saccharopolyspora sRNA 350". Lineage: Bacteria; Bacillati; Actinomycetota; Actinomycetes; Mycobacteriales; Nocardiaceae. The record is from Rfam by way of RNAcentral.